Molecule: long non-coding RNA, 898 nt
Organism: Hyaena hyaena (striped hyena)
Lineage: Eukaryota; Metazoa; Chordata; Mammalia; Carnivora; Hyaenidae
Exons: 3
Source: RefSeq, a predicted model, not a curated record
AUCUUGACUAUUGACUACUGGGACCGUACGGCGGCCGAAUCCGUACGUUUGCAGGAAACACUGCCACACCUGCAUCGCUGCCUUCCUGAGAUCACUGCCACCCCGUCGGCCGAGGCCGUACUGUGACUUCUUGUACGGACGCAACGUUACGGGCAACAUGGCCGCGCCUAUGCGCGGCUUCCACGCAGAUGCCGUCAUCUUGGAAUCUGAUUCCGUAAGAUGGCCGAGUCCGUACGUUUACAGACAAUACAUGGCAGCGUCCUGAUUGCGGCUUCCACAAGGGCGCCGCCAUUUUGACCAUCGAUACCGUAGGCCGGUGGUUUGUCCUGCUGAGAAGUUCACAGAAAAAGUGUCCGCUUCCGAAACACGACCCGUAUCAAGUUACACACAUUCAUCUAUUCAAUCACUUUUCCGUUUCACAUGUAAAAACGAGACGCCAGAAGACUGGGUGUCGUGCGCUGCGAAGGAAACCAUUACCCCUGUUACAUUUGCUACGUUACCUCCCGCGACUCUCCCGCUCUCUUCCCCCUUCCAGUUCCUCAGCCAGGCCUGGCACGGUUCAGCCUCUGGGCUUUUGCAGGAGUGCUCUCGCCCCUCAGAAUUAUUCCCAAGCAACAGCGGAAGGCCAUGAACGGUGUGGACUGACCGCCUCUGGUGAGAAGUGGCCGAACCAAAGAAGCACCGUUAUCCCUGCCAGCACUGUUCAGUUGGGUUCGUGCCAGAAGAACUGAGCCCUGAACGCCACGUGGUGUAGUUUUUUAUAUAUUUUCCACUUCUUUGUCUCCCAUAUAUGGGAUGGGACCCUACCACAGUUUGAUUCUGUACCACCCGAAAUCAUCUCAGGAAUCCCCAGGGAUCCACAGACAACACUUUGAGAACUAAUUUUCUAUACCAUAAA